This 640-nucleotide ribosomal RNA is filed under the name uncultured Deinococcus sp. RNAcentral describes it as "bacterial SSU rRNA". It matches the Rfam family "Bacterial small subunit ribosomal RNA", at positions 8 to 667 of the family's 1533-position model. Lineage: Bacteria; Thermotogati; Deinococcota; Deinococci; Deinococcales; Deinococcaceae. The record is from RNAcentral.
AGAGUUUGAUCCUGGCUCAGGGUGAACGCUGGCGGCGUGCUUAAGACAUGCAAGUCGAACGAGGGUCUUCGGACCCUAGUGGCGCACGGGUGAGUAACGCGUAACUGACCUACCCUCAAGUCGUGGAUAACGUGCCGAAAGGUGCGCUAAUACAUGAUGUGCUGAUUGCUCCUGUGCAAUCAGUAAAGGUUUACUGCUUGAGGAUGGGGUUGCGUUCCAUCAGCUAGUUGGCGGGGUAAAGGCCCACCAAGGCAACGACGGAUCGCCGGCCUGAGAGGGUGGCCGGCCACAGGGGCACUGAGACACGGGUCCCACUCCUACGGGAGGCAGCAGUUAGGAAUCUUCCACAAUGGGCGCAAGCCUGAUGGAGCGACGCCGCGUGAGGGAUGAAGGUUUUCGGAUCGUAAACCUCUGAAUCUGGGACGAAAGACGCGUAAGCGGGAUGACGGUACCAGAGUAAUAGCACCGGCUAACUCCGUGCCAGCAGCCGCGGUAAUACGGAGGGUGCAAGCGUUACCCGGAAUCACUGGGCGUAAAGGGCGUGUAGGCGGUUAUUUAAGUCUGGUUUUAAAGACCGGGGCUCAACCCCGGGGAUGGACUGGAGACUGGAUGACUAGACCUCUGGAGAGGCAAUCGGAAU